AACGAACGCUGGCGGCAUGCCUAACACAUGCAAGUCGAACGAGACCUUCGGGUCUAGUUGCUCACGGGUGCGUAACGCGUGGGAACCUUCCCUUAUGCUCCGAAUACCUCUCCUACAUGGGUGCUAAUACCGGAUAAUGUCUUCGGACCCAAGAUUUAUCGCCUUUGGGUGGGCCCGCGUUGGAUUAGCUAGUUGGUAGGGUAAAAGCCUACCAAGGCGACGAUCCAUAGCUGGUCUGAGAGGAUGAGCAGCCACACUGGGACUGAGACACGGCCCAGACUCCUACGGGAGGCAGCAGUGGGGAAUAUUGGACAAUGGGCGAAAGCCUGAUCCAGCAAUGCCGCGUGAGUGAUGAAGGCCUUAGGGUUGUAAAGCUCUUUUACCCGGGAUGAUAAUGACAGUACCGGGAGAAUAAGCUCCGGCUAACUCCGUG
RNAcentral lists this ribosomal RNA (433 nucleotides) under uncultured bacterium. RNAcentral's name for it is "partial 16S ribosomal RNA". It matches the Rfam family "Bacterial small subunit ribosomal RNA", at positions 29 to 507 of the family's 1533-position model. The record is from RNAcentral.